Oncorhynchus keta (chum salmon) is the source of this 942-nucleotide long non-coding RNA. RefSeq lists it as uncharacterized. The record is from RefSeq and is a predicted model, not a curated record. The transcript has 5 exons. NCBI's taxonomy places the organism in Eukaryota, Metazoa, Chordata, Actinopteri, Salmoniformes, Salmonidae.
GAAGGAUGAGACUGGUGAGUGGUCAGAGAGAAAGACUACUGGAGCUGCUGGGAGGUCAGCCAGAAGGAGGAGACUGGUGAGUGGUCAGAGAGAAAGACUACUGGAGCUGCUGGGAGGUCAGCCAGAAGGAGGAGACUGGUGAGUGGACAGAGAGAAAGACUACUGGAGCUGCUGGGAGGUCAGCCAGAAGGAGGAGACUGGUGAGUGGACAGAGAGAAAGACUACUGGAGCUGCUGGGAGGUCAGCCAGAAGGAGGAGACUGGUGAGUGGAGAGAGAGAUGAGAGGUCAGCCAGAAGGAGGAGAUGGGUGAGUGGAGAGAGAGAUGAGAGGUCAGUCAGGAGGAGGAGACCGGUGAGUGGAGAGAGAGAUGAGAGGUCAGCCAGAAGGAGGAGAUGGGUGAGUGGAGAGAGAGAUGAGAGGUCAGCCAGAAGGAGGAGAUGGGUGAGUGGAGAGAGAGAUGAGAGGUCAGCCAGAAGGAGGAGACUGGUGAGUGGAGAGAGAGAUGAGAGGUCAGCCAGAAGGAGGAGACUGGUGAGUGGAGAGAGAGAUGAGAGGUCAGCCAGAAGGAGGAGAUGGGUGAGUGGAGAGAGAGAUGAGAGGUCAGCCAGAAGGAGGAGAUGGGUGAGUGGAGAGAGAGAUGAGAGGUCAGCCAGAAGGAGGAGAUGGGUGAGUGGAGAGAGAGAUGAGAGGUCAGCCAGAAGGAGGAGACUGGUGAGUGGAGAGAGAGAUGAGAGGUCAGCCAGAAGGAGGAGAUGGGUGAGUGGAGAGAGAGAUGAGAGGUCAGCCAGAAGGAGGAGAUGGGUGAGUGGAGAGAGAGAUGAGAGGUCAGCCAGAAGGAGGAGAUGGGUGAGUGGACAGAGAGAUGAGAGGUCAGCCAGAAGGAGGAGAUGGGUGAGUGGAGAGAGAGAGAUGAGAGGUCAGCCAGAAGGAGGAGAGUGGAG